GAUGAACGCUGACAGAAUGCUUAACACAUGCAAGUCAACUUGAACUUCGGUUUGGGUGGCGGACGGGUGAGUAACGCGUAAAGAACUUGCCUCACAGCUAGGGACAACAUUUGGAAACGAAUGCUAAUACCUGAUAUUAUGAUUUUAGGGCAUCCUAGAAUUAUGAAAGCUAUAUGCGCUGUGAGAGAGCUUUGCGUCCCAUUAGCUAGUUGGAGAGGUAACGGCUCACCAAGGCGAUGAUGGGUAGCCGGCCUGAGAGGGUGAGCGGCCACAAGGGGACUGAGACACGGCCCUUACUCCUACGGGAGGCAGCAGUGGGGAAUAUUGGACAAUGGACCAAGAGUCUGAUCCAGCAAUUCUGUGUGCACGAUGAAGUUUUUCGGAAUGUAAAGUGCUUUCAGUUGGGAAGAAAAAAAUGACGGUACCAACAGAAGAAGUGACGGCUAAAUACGUG
This 454-nucleotide ribosomal RNA is filed under the name uncultured bacterium. Its description in RNAcentral is "partial 16S ribosomal RNA". It matches the Rfam family "Bacterial small subunit ribosomal RNA", at positions 28 to 507 of the family's 1533-position model. The record is from RNAcentral.